CAUAUGGCGUCGCCAUAUUCGACAUUGACAAUGAUGGAGAUCUCGAUUGUCUGACUGCCGUCCGAACAAAAUAUGAUAACGAUGGACCGAGUGCUGAUUACGUCUGGAUUCUCAAGGGGCUGAGGGGCCACGUGAAGAAGAACAUCACGUUCCACUUCAAGAAAGGAGACGCACCGGACAAGGCACUCGUCACUGUCGAUGAUGACCCUCAAAGCCAGGAAGCAAGAGCCUUCUACGCCGACUUCCAGACGUGCGCCGUGUUGGACAUUCCAUAUAAUGGGAAGCCAGAGUGCACUCUAUGGACCACAGAGGAAGCCAAAGACAAUAUUCCAAGUCAAUGUAUCGAGCAAUACAAAAAGCACUGCGAGGUACAAGUUGUGGUCUACGAUAAAGAGUCUUGCAGUCAAGUAUAAUGGUAUGGACCAAGAGAAAUGACAGCAGGUUUAGCAUAGAACCUAGUUCUUGUGUAUUUCUGUAG
This is a non-coding RNA of Dermacentor albipictus, 478 nucleotides long. The record is from RefSeq and is a predicted model, not a curated record. NCBI's taxonomy places the organism in Eukaryota, Metazoa, Arthropoda, Arachnida, Ixodida, Ixodidae.